GGCCUUUAGUGUAUGAUUUAAGGUCUGACCUGCCCAAUGAUUAUUUUGAAUGGCCGCAGUAUUUUGACUGUGCAAAGGUAGCAUAAUCAUUAGUUUUUUAAUUGAAAGCUGGAAUGAAUGGUUUGAUGAAAAAAUAACUGUCUCAAUAAAAUUUAUUUAGAAUUUUAAUUUUAAGUGAGAAAGCUUAAAUGUUUUAUGAAGACGAGAAGACCCUAUAGAGUUUAAUAAUAUCAUUAUUAUUUAUUUUAGGUUUUAUUUUCAUAUUAAUAUAAAUAUUAUUUUGUUGGGGUGACAGAAAAAUUUAAGUAACUUUUUAUGUUUUAUAACAUUAAUUUAUGGGUUUUUGAUCCUGAUUUUUGGAUUAAAAGAUUAAAUUACCUUAGGGAUAACAGCGUAAUUUCUUUGGAGAGUUCUUAUCGAUAAAGAAGUUUGCGA
This 435-nucleotide ribosomal RNA is filed under the name Dailognatha hellenica. RNAcentral's name for it is "partial 16S ribosomal RNA". Lineage: Eukaryota; Metazoa; Arthropoda; Insecta; Coleoptera; Tenebrionidae. The record is from RNAcentral.